GGGGUUGUAGCUCAGUGGUGAAGCACUUCCCUCACAAGUAUGAGACACUGGGUUCGAUCCUCAGCACCACA
Molecule: transfer RNA, 71 nt
Filed under: Marmota monax (woodchuck)
Lineage: Eukaryota; Metazoa; Chordata; Mammalia; Rodentia; Sciuridae
Description: tRNA.Val
Rfam family: tRNA
About the family: Transfer RNA (tRNA) molecules are approximately 80 nucleotides in length. Their secondary structure includes four short double-helical elements and three loops (D, anti-codon, and T loops). Further hydrogen bonds mediate the characteristic L-shaped molecular structure. tRNAs have two regions of fundamental functional importance: the anti-codon, which is responsible for specific mRNA codon recognition, and the 3' end, to which the tRNAs corresponding amino acid is attached (by aminoacyl-tRNA synthetases). tRNAs cope with the degeneracy of the genetic code in two manners: having more than one tRNA (with a specific anti-codon) for a particular amino acid; and 'wobble' base-pairing, i.e. permitting non-standard base-pairing at the 3rd anti-codon position.
Source: RNAcentral